CUGGAUAGCUAACUACGGAAAGGAUAAACGCUGAAAGCAUCUAAGCGUGAAGCCCGCUCCGAGAUAAGGUUUCGUAAAGUGUUUACACUGAGAGUCCCCUGGAAGACGACCAGGUUAAUAGGCCAGAUGUGUAAGCCCAGUAAUGGGUUCAGCUAACUGGUACUAAAGGACGAAAACUUGGCCAC
RNAcentral lists this ribosomal RNA (185 nucleotides) under Pirellulaceae bacterium. RNAcentral's name for it is "partial 23S ribosomal RNA". It matches the Rfam family "Bacterial large subunit ribosomal RNA", at positions 2741 to 2925 of the family's 2925-position model. The record is from RNAcentral. Lineage: Bacteria; Pseudomonadati; Planctomycetota; Planctomycetia; Pirellulales; Pirellulaceae.